Molecule: ribosomal RNA, 253 nt
Filed under: uncultured bacterium
Lineage: Bacteria
Description: partial 16S ribosomal RNA
Rfam family: Bacterial small subunit ribosomal RNA
Source: RNAcentral
UACGUAGGGGGCAAGCGUUGUCCGGAUUUAUUGGGCGUAAAGAGCGUGUAGGCGGCCAUGUAGGUCCGUUGUGAAAACUCGAGGCUCAACCUCGAGACGCCGAUGGAAACCAUGUGGCUAGAGUCCGGAAGAGGAGAGUGGAAUUCCUGGUGUAGCGGUGAAAUGCGCAGAUAUCGGGAGGAACACCAGUGGCGAAGGCAGCUCGCUGGGACGGUACUGACGCUGAGACGCGAAAGCGUGGGGAGCAAACAGG